UUCGUGACUGCAGCUACCCUCUCCGGCGGCGAGAAAGCGAUCGAGAGGGAGAGGAGCAAAUUCGAAGUUGGAUGAUGUCGGCUCUAGACUCAACCCUAAUACCUGUCGGCUGUCGCGGUCUCCUCAUUCUUGGUGGAUAAAUGUCAACACAUUCGUCCCCAAUCCGCUUCCCACUCUUCCCUCGCCAUCUCCCUACCUCGUCGCCCGAUCCGAGAGUUCUGAUGUAAGACAUCCAGACUGGUUUAAAUUGCGAUGUUUAGAUUGAGAAACUGGUGUGUUGUGAUUUCUGCACUCUGCAGACUGGUUUUUGGCUAUGCUUAUCCAUCUUACAAGUGCCACAAGACCAUAGAAUUGAACAAGCCAGAGAUUGGGCAAUUGCGUUUCUGGUGCCAUUAUUAGACAAUUAAGAUUCUAGUUGCAUUAUUGACAGUCUUGGGAGCAUUUGCAGAUGCAUUCUUCUCAUGGCAGGAAGCUAUUUUGUUUCUUUUGUUAUCUUAUUCUCCUUGGUUGUUCAUAUUUCUACCAUUUCCAAUACUAUUGCUGUGUCUUUCUUGCUGAAGGUUACCAUUGUAUUAUGAAGCCAAAGCAAUUAAUUGGUUUGUGAGAGGUAAAUAAUAACACAAACACUAGUCGAGUUGUAAUUAUCAUUGUGUGCAACUUCUCAGAUUGCUUAGUUGCAUCCUGAAGUAGUUUGUUUCUGUUAUCAAUCUAAAGGUUUUG
Molecule: long non-coding RNA, 720 nt
Organism: Zingiber officinale
Lineage: Eukaryota; Viridiplantae; Streptophyta; Magnoliopsida; Zingiberales; Zingiberaceae
Exons: 3
Source: RefSeq, a predicted model, not a curated record